CCCGCUCCUGGUCCUCAAGACCGUCCCUCUGAUUGGUGUCAUCUGGAGCCGAGCGCCAGGGAUAAUGUUACGUUUACUCCCGCUCUCUCUGGCGCUCAACGUCGCCAGUUGUCUCAUUACGCACACCUGCCACCAUUGUUACGCACCUGCGCCUCAUGACCCAUGGAUUCCAUCACCUCUUGAUUAUCUCCCCUUAUCUGUCACUCUACCAUGGUUCUUUCCUAUAUAGGCGUUAUUGACUCUGUUUCUGUUUCCUGUUCUAUUUAUUAUUAAAUUUGCACUCCCUGUACUUUCUUCCCGACUCCCAGCGUACACGUUACAAAACUGUAACAAUGUGCUCAUGAGGUAUUUUGUGCUGUGUUGUGAUAUUGCAUCAUCCAAAUGUCAAAAUGUAAAUUAAUUUGAAUUCUUUCCACUUCAUAUAGAUUUUUUACUUUCUUGAGAUUGUACAAAUUUCGGCAUAUCAGUGUGAACACUCUUUAAGUGUUUUCUAGGAGAGGGUCGUGGCUUCGUGUCAAUAGUUCCGGCAAAACACUUGCAAUAAAGAACCUUUCAGCCUUAGGUAGGGCUUUUUGUAGCAUUUCUUCAUCUCUGAUUAUGCGACGCACAAUGACCUCAGCACUUGUCCAAACCACAAAGUCACAGUAUUGGACAUUGCAAACAAACAUGUGAAGUUGAACUUGGUGGUAAUAUUCAUGAUUCUUCUUCAGGUGCAGUGAUUUGUCCAAGCAGAACUGUGUGUCAUCACUGCACCCUGUAAGGCCAUCACGGUAUUUGUAUGGGCACUUAAUUUCAAGGGUUCCUCUCCCACAACAGGAACAGUUCACUAAUCCAUCUGGAGACGCCCCGAGAUGUGGUUGAUCGUUCCGCACGACAAGACCCGAGAGCUUCACACUGAAGUUGGCAUGGAUUUUGCUCAUUUCUUCCGUGUAGUACUUUCUGGCUGUGUCCUCCAUGUCUCUUCCCCAAAGUACAGCUGGGACAUGAUGCAACUCACUGUCAUUGUAAUGCAUUGUCUUUUUCACCAAGUUGAUUUUGUCUGUGUUUCUGCCUGCCGUGCACACACGAUGGAAGGCGGUGCUUGUUAUCCGUCCAAUUCGGUUGGUGUGCCAGGCCUGGCAUUUGGACUGCUCCUUGGAGGUGGUGAGAGGUCCCUUAGAUUGGCAUCAUACAGAGCUGUGAGUAGCUCUGGCAGGUCUUCUGUGUUGGUGUUUGAAUCUCCUGAUGCAGUAUCUACAUCACUGUGGUCCUUCACGAUCCUGGCCAUGAAGCCUGCUACAUAUAGACCGAGUGGUUGCUACGAGACAACUUCUUCACUGAACGUAGCUACUGCCAUCAACACGUGCACAUCCACAUAUUGUGCCAGUAUUUGUACACAAAGGAAGAGGUCUAUAGCGACCUGGAUUCUUCUACAAAGACCUACACUAUUCAACCGGUACAUCACCUCUACAAAAGCUUUUCAGGACCAAAAGCUGUUGGGUAGUUCCACAAAAUGAGUCCCUUUUGGGUAGUGUAACAGUUUUAUUUCACCUAACAUGACGAGCACAUGUUCAACUUAAUUAAAUAAACAUGAUGUUUUCCCAUCUCAAGAGGGAUAAUAAAAGAUGACUAUAGUACGUGCCUAUUAAAGGCCCAGUGCAGUCAAAAACAUGA
Oncorhynchus kisutch (coho salmon) is the source of this 1653-nucleotide long non-coding RNA. RefSeq lists it as uncharacterized. The record is from RefSeq and is a predicted model, not a curated record. Lineage: Eukaryota; Metazoa; Chordata; Actinopteri; Salmoniformes; Salmonidae. The transcript is spliced from 3 exons.